UGGUGGGCAUGAAUGUUUGGGGAGAAUACAUUGGCUGUCCAAGAAGGAAGGAGCUGUAGUUUCUCUGCAGUAAAAAAGAAAGAAUUUCAAUCCUGAAGAAAGACUCUCUGAUUUUGCCUCAUCAGAUUCUUUAAGCUGUGGCUGCUUAACCGGGAUUCCAUGAUCAACAGAGCGCUGCACUGUCAGAGGAGUAGCCUUUUUGACGAGAUGCUAAACAGAGGCCUCAUCUGCCCUGUGUGUUGGAGCUAAAACAGCAUAAAAAGCAGAGAGAUUGGGGAUAAUGUCCUGGAUAAUUUUACCUUAACAGUUACCAAGAAAUGGUUGAAGACUCCUGCCUGAAGCUGAACUGGAUGGUUUGGUCUCAUAUCCUCUCUACCAUUAGGACAGCCUAACUCCACUUUGGUCUACCUGAGCCCCCAAGUGCAAAUUCUUACCAGUACUUUGUUCCGUCUAGACUCAAUUAUUCCAAUGCUGUCCUGUCAAUCCUCCAUUCACCCAGCCUCAGUAAACUUAGCCAAAUCUUUGAUGACCACAUUCUAAUUUUCAGACAUGUCAUUCAUCCAUCAUCCCUGUGCUCAAUGAUGUGCACUGGGUCUAAUUCUAUUAACUUUUUUUAAGUUAAUAUGAUCAUUUGUGUAUUCAAGUACCUCCGGGCACCCCCAUCCCACACUGGCUUCCCUGCAAUCUUCACCAGCCCUAUAAACCCUUGGUCCAGGCCAUUUUUGGAGAACUGCGUACAGUUCUGGUCACUUUGCUAUAGGAAGAGUGUUAUUAAGUUGGAAAAAGUGCAGAAAAG
Molecule: long non-coding RNA, 796 nt
Organism: Rhincodon typus (whale shark)
Lineage: Eukaryota; Metazoa; Chordata; Chondrichthyes; Orectolobiformes; Rhincodontidae
Exons: 3
Source: RefSeq, a predicted model, not a curated record